This 407-nucleotide ribosomal RNA is filed under the name uncultured bacterium. Its description in RNAcentral is "partial 16S ribosomal RNA". It matches the Rfam family "Bacterial small subunit ribosomal RNA", at positions 30 to 526 of the family's 1533-position model. The record is from RNAcentral.
AUUGAACGCUGGCGGCAGGCCUAACACAUGCAAGUCGAACGGAGUGGCGGACGGGUGAGUAACGCGUAGGUAACUGCCUCAGAGCGGGGGAUACAUAUGGGAAACGAUAGCUAAAACCGCAUACUGUGAGAUGUACCUGCGUUGUAUUAGCUAGUUGGUGAGUGAAAGGCUCACCAAGGCGACGAUACAUAGCCGACCUGAGAGGGUGAUCGUCCCCACUGGGACUGAGACACUGCCCAGACUCCUUCGGUAGGCAGCAGUAGGGAAUCUUCGGCAAUGGACGGAAGUCUUACCGAGCAACGGCGCGUGAGUGAAGGAGGUUUUCGGAUCUUAAAGCUCUGUUGUUAGAGAAGCGGUAACUAACCAGAAAGGGACGGCUAACUACGUGCCAGCAGCCGCGGUAAUUC